AGAGUCUGAUCCUGGCUCGGGAUGAACGCUAGCGGCAGGCCUAACACAUGCAAGUCGAACGGUAACAUGAGAGCUUGCUCUUGAUGACGAGUGGCGCACGGGUGCGUAACGCGUAUGCAACCUACCUUUUACAGAGGGAUAGCCCAGAGAAAUUUGGAUUAACACCUCAUAGUAUCAUAAAUGUUCAUGCAUUAAUGAUUAAAACUUCGGUGGUAAAAGAUGGGCAUGCGUAAGAUUAGCUAGUUGGUAAGGUAACGGCUUACCAAGGCGACGAUCUUUAGGGGGCCUGAGAGGGUGGUCCCCCACACUGGUACUGAGACACGGACCAGACUCCUACGGGAGGCAGCAGUGAGGAAUAUUGGUCAAUGGACGCAAGUCUGAACCAGCCAUGCCGCGUGCAGGAAGACGGCCCUAUGGGUUGUAAACUGCUUUUAUAUAGGAAGAAACUUUUCUACGUGUAGAAAACUGACGGUACUAUAUGAAUAAGGACCGGCUAACUCCGUGCCAGCAGCCGCGGUAAUACGGAGGGUCCAAGCGUUAUCCGGAUUUAUUGGGUUUAAAGGGUCCGUAGGCGGAUUUUUAAGUCAGUGGUGAAAGCCUGCAGCUCAACUGCAGAACUGCCAUUGAUACUGGAAAUCUUGAGUGUAUUUGAAGUGGGCGGAAUGUGUCAUGUAGCGGUGAAAUGCAUAGAUAUGACACAGAACACCGAUUGCGAAGGCAGCUCACUAAACUACAACUGACGCUGAGGGACGAAAGCGUGGGGAGCGAACAGGAUUAGAUACCCUGGUAGUCCACGCCGUAAACGAUCAUCACUCGCUGUUGGCGAUACACAGUCAGCGGCCAAGCGAAAGCAUUAAGUGAUGCACCUGGGAAGUACGGUCGCAAGAUUGAAACUCAAAGGAAUUGACGGGGGCCCGCACAAGCGGUGGAGCAUGUGGUUUAAUUCGAUGAUACGCGAGGAACCUUACCAGGGCUUAAAUGCAGAAUGACAGUUUGGGAAACCAGAUUUUCUUCGGACAUUUUGCAAGGUGCUGCAUGGUUGUCGUCAGCUCGUGCCGUGAGGUGUCAGGUUAAGUCCUAUAACGAGCGCAACCCCUAUCUUUAGUUGCCAGCGGGUCAAGCCGGGGACUCUAAAGAAACUGCCAGCGCAAGCUGUGAGGAAGGUGGGGAUGACGUCAAAUCAUCACGGCCCUUACGUCCUGGGCUACACACGUGCUACAAUGGUAACGACAGAGGGCAGCCACCACGCGAGUGGGAGCGGAUCCUUAAACGUUAUCUCAGUUCGGAUUGGAGUCUGCAACUCGACUCCAUGAAGCUGGAAUCGCUAGUAAUCGCGCAUCAGCCAUGGCGCGGUGAAUACGUUCCCGGGCCUUGUACACACCGCCCGUCAAGCCAUGGAAGCCGGGGGUGCCUGAAGUCGGUAACCGCAAGGAGCUGCCUAGGGUAAAACUGGUAACUAGGGCUAAGUCGUAACAAGGUA
Molecule: ribosomal RNA, 1480 nt
Filed under: metagenome
Description: bacterial SSU rRNA
Rfam family: Bacterial small subunit ribosomal RNA
Source: RNAcentral